RNAcentral lists this unclassified non-coding RNA (642 nucleotides) under Hevea brasiliensis (rubber tree). The record is from RNAcentral. Lineage: Eukaryota; Viridiplantae; Streptophyta; Magnoliopsida; Malpighiales; Euphorbiaceae.
UUCUUCUUUAGUUCAGCUGUGCACAGUAAUACAUAAAAUAACCAAUGAGCAGUCACAUAUGAGAAUCAUCACAAAGCUAGAUAACUCUUAAAAAGAUAAAUUUCAGCUCCUUGAAAAUAUUCAAUAUAUCGAUGAAAAAAAGAAAAACAUUGCAAACAUACGAAUAUAUUAAAUGUUCUUCCCAUUUAGCAAGAGGAGCUCAGAAUGGUUUGGGAACACUUAUUACAAGACUUGUAUUUUCAUUUUAUACAAUGUCAUCUUAUUAAUAAUGAAAAUCAAUUAUGAUACAACAUCAACACAUUUCAGAUAACCUAAGAAGAUAAUCAAGCCAAGAAAACAAUGGAAACUAGCCCAGACUAGAUACUGCCCCAGCUCAAGCUUAAGUUCUGCAUGUCCUACCAUAGCAUGCUACAUCAACAAUAGGCUCAAUUGAUCUAUAGGAAUUGUAAAAUAGAACUACUUGCAUUGACAAGCAUAAUUAGCAAUCCCUUUCUCCAAUAAUAGUCCAGAAACAAAAUCAUUAAAAAGUUGCCCACUUUUUAGAAGAAAUGUACAGGCAUCAAGUAUUCUGGAAAAUAUUGAGAAAUUACUAAUAAGAAGGAAUAACUCGAAAAAAGUAAGUCUAUAUGCAUAUGUUUGACA